This 497-nucleotide ribosomal RNA is filed under the name uncultured bacterium. RNAcentral's name for it is "partial 16S ribosomal RNA". It matches the Rfam family "Bacterial small subunit ribosomal RNA", at positions 28 to 507 of the family's 1533-position model. The record is from RNAcentral.
GACGAACGCUGGCGGCGUGCCUAAUACAUGCAAGUUGAGCGCUGAAGGUUGGUACUUGUACCAACUGGAUGAGCAGCGAACGGGUGAGUAACGCGUGGGGAAUCUGCCUUUGAGCGGGGGACAACAUUUGGAAACGAAUGCUAAUACCGCAUAAAAACUUUAAACACAAGUUUUAAGUUUGAAAGAUGCAAUUGCAUCACUCAAAGAUGAUCCCGCGUUGUAUUAGCUAGUUGGUGAGGUAAAGGCUCACCAAGGCGAUGAUACAUAGCCGACCUGAGAGGGUGAUCGCCCACAUUGGGACUGAGACACGGCCCAAACUCCUACGGGAGGCAGCAGUAGGGAAUCUUCGGCAAUGGACGAAAGUCUGACCGAGCAACGCCGCGUGAGUGAAGAAGGUUUUCGGAUCGUAAAACUCUGUUGGUAGAGAAGAACGUUGGUGAGAGUGGAAAGCUCAUCAAGUGACGGUAACUACCCAGAAAGGGACGGCUAACUACGUG